This 447-nucleotide ribosomal RNA is filed under the name uncultured bacterium. RNAcentral describes it as "bacterial SSU rRNA". It matches the Rfam family "Bacterial small subunit ribosomal RNA", at positions 330 to 797 of the family's 1533-position model. The record is from RNAcentral.
CCCAGACUCCUACGGGAGGCAGCAGUGGGGGAUAUUGCACAAUGGGGGAAACCCUGAUGCAGCGACGCCGCGUGGGUGAAGAAGCGCCUCGGCGCGUAAAGCCCUGUCAGCAGGGAAGAAAAUGACAGUACCUGACCAAGAAGCCCCGGCUAACUACGUGCCAGCAGCCGCGGUAAUACGUAGGGGGCAAGCGUUAUCCGGAUUUACUGGGUGUAAAGGGAGCGUAGACGGUUAUGUAAGUCUGGAGUGAAAGCCCGGGGCCCAACCCCGGGACUGCUUUGGAAACUGUGUAACUGGAGUACAGGAGGGGCAGGCGGAAUUCCUGGUGUAGCGGUGAAAUGCGUAGAUAUCAGGAGGAACACCGGCGGCGAAGGCGGCCUGCUGGACUGAAACUGACGUUGAGGCUCGAAAGCGUGGGGAGCAAACAGGAUUAGAUACCCGAGUACA